GUAGGGUGUGUGUGUGGUGAGUGUGUGUGUGCUGUGCGUGUGAUAUGGUUUCACUGUGUCCCCACCCAAACCUCACCUUGACUUGUAGUUCCCAUAAUCCCCAUGUGUUGAGGGUGGGACCUGGUAGGAAGUGACUGCAUCACGGGGGUGGUUUUCUCCUUCCCCCAUCAUGCUGUUCUCAUGAUAGUGAGUGAGCUCUCAAGAGAUCUGGUGGUUUUAUAAGGGACUCUUCCCCUUCGCUUGGAACUUCUCCUUCCUGCCACCCUGUGAAGAAGGUGCCUUGCUUUCCCAUCCCCUUCUGCCAUGAUUGUAAGUUCCCUGAGGCCUCCCAGCCAUGCCGAACUAAAAUGCUGCUAUGGCAUUCCCUGCAGUCCACGUUGCUAGGAGAGGAUGAAUUCAGGAGCUGUGGGCUUUCCAGACUUUCAGUCAGCCCCUGUCAACACCCCUUAAAUAACCAGUGGUAAACUGCCUGUCAGAAUGAUGGAGAGCCACUUGAUUCCCAUUUCCUUCUCUAGGGCACAGACUCUCACCUCAUUGCCAGGCUGGCAGGUCAUUCGUCCAGGCAUCAUAUGGCUAUAAAACCAGUGGUAUUCUUUUUAUUUGAAAUGGGGUGGUAGUAGUGGUGGUGGGGAGACAUAAAUCCUAAGUGGUUCACACAGGAUGCAAAGUGACACAAUUUGUGUGUAUGUAAGAGUGUAUAUGAGUUUGGGGGUGGGAGGGCCUUAUUUUGGGAGAAAAUUCUCCCAAAUGUUGGAGUAUUGGGGGCAAAAAUUCUGUUACUCUGAACAAUGUCUGCAUAACAGUGAAAAUCAGAGGACCGUAAGUAUUGAAAAGUACUGCCAAAAUAAUGGGGUUUGAAGGCAGAUGUGUAUUGAAAAACCCUGAAUGAGAAUAAGGGUGCUGCUGAAUCAGGAGGCAGAAAGGAGGGACUUUCAGCUGGUUCACAUGGAAGAGAUAUGAAAUGCUUUAGACAGUCUGGAAAGGUAGGAAGCAGAUGUGAAAUGAACAGGGGGCAACCUGUUGAGAGCUGUUUUGAGAACUGAGAGAACAGACAUCUCAGUAUGCCUCAAAUAUUGAGCUAGAAAAGAGGCAGCCUAAAGGAGCAUCUAACACAAGCCAAAACAAAACCAAAAUACCUUAAAUCAAGCCCAAAAAAAAAAGACAACAGGAAAGAACCUUCCUCCUGGAAAUAUAAAUGUGGUAGAGGGGUUAAUGAUGGUGCUGUAUAUCAGGAAUGGAAGGUAGGAGCAGCAGGAUUCAGAAUUCUUGGAGUAGAGGUUGAGUGAAGAAGUCAGCUCACUAAAGGGAACUAGAGUAAUGCUUGCAAGGACCUUGUCUGUUUCACAUGCUGGUUGUUCCAUGGUGGCAGAAGUGGGAUCUGAUGUUCUACAUCUUGCAUAACUAAAAAGGUAGCAUGCACUAAACUUGGAAAGAUCUUAAAUCUGUACCCUGAAAAUUAUCCCACAUUCGUGGAAAAAUUAGUAUGCCUAUUAGUAUUGUCACCAUGCAAGAACUGCACUGGCAAUGAAGACAGUGAUGUAAGAAGACAGAAGUGAGUCCAGACACAGGAUCCAUUGUCUAAGCAACUGAUGGGAGAAAUGGCUUCGUGACUGUCCUGAGGCAAUGGUGGUGAGGCAGGAAUUAAACACCUCCCAGGGAUGAAAUGGUGUCACCUUGUAUUGUGUUUCACCUUAAUUAUCUCCAUGAGAACUUCACACAUGUAUUAAAAAAACCCAACAUGACACAUUCGUAAGGUAGUUACUAUCUGUUGCAGAAUUUCAUGUAUUAUAUUUGUGCCCUAAGUUAGCCAUUAUUAUCCCAAUUUUAUAGUUAAGGGAAUGGAAACUCAAAAAACAUAUGGCUUGCUUACAGAGCUACACAACUUGUGGGAGAGGAGCUGGGAUUGGGACUCCAAUUUUGGGACUCUGUGUUCAUCAUGUUUUUUGGUCCCCCAUGUUCCCCUUCUUUAAAUGACUGAGUACAUGUCAUUUCAAAAACUUGUGGCCUUGGGCAAUGGCAGGCAGAAUAGGAAGUAAAUAUGUCUCAUUUUCCCUUUGUGAUUUCUCUAUGGUUCCAUAAAGAAAUAAACACAUUUAAAAGGUUAGCCAUUUGCCUUUGCCUGAGUAAAGUAUAAAGUUUUUUAAAAAAGCAUUUCCAGUUAUUUUGUGUAUUAAUCUAAUGAUGG
Molecule: long non-coding RNA, 2185 nt
Filed under: Homo sapiens (human)
Lineage: Eukaryota; Metazoa; Chordata; Mammalia; Primates; Hominidae
Description: HSALNT0081626
Source: RNAcentral